This 495-nucleotide ribosomal RNA is filed under the name uncultured bacterium. Its description in RNAcentral is "partial 16S ribosomal RNA". It matches the Rfam family "Bacterial small subunit ribosomal RNA", at positions 28 to 507 of the family's 1533-position model. The record is from RNAcentral.
GACGAACGCUGGCGGCGUGCCUAAUACAUGCAAGUAGAACGCUGAAGGAGGAGCUUGCUUCUCUGGAUGAGUUGCGAACGGGUGAGUAACGCGUAGGUAACCUGCCUGGUAGCGGGGGAUAACUAUUGGAAACGAUAGCUAAUACCGCAUAAGAGUAGAUGUCGCAUGACAUUUGCUUAAAAGGUGCAAUUGCAUCACUACCAGAUGGACCUGCGUUGUAUUAGCUAGUUGGUGAGGUAACGGCUCACCAAGGCAACGAUACAUAGCCGACCUGAGAGGGUGAUCGGCCACACUGGGACUGAGACACGGCCCAGACUCCUACGGGAGGCAGCAGUAGGGAAUCUUCGGCAAUGGACGGAAGUCUGACCGAGCAACGCCGCGUGAGUGAAGAAGGUUUUCGGAUCGUAAAGCUCUGUUGUAGGAGAAGAACGAGUGUGAGAGUGGAAAGUUCACACUGUGACGGUAUCUUACCAGAAAGAGACGGCUAACUACGUG